Small nuclear RNA from Bos taurus (domestic cattle), 104 nucleotides. NCBI's taxonomy places the organism in Eukaryota, Metazoa, Chordata, Mammalia, Artiodactyla, Bovidae. The record is from Ensembl.
GUGCUUGCUUCAGCAGCACAUAUAAUAAAAUUGGAAUGAUACAGAAAUUAGCAUGGCCCCUGCACAAGUAUGACAUGGAAAUUCAUGAAGCGUUCCAUAUUUAA